This 616-nucleotide long non-coding RNA is filed under the name Phaseolus vulgaris (common bean). RNAcentral's name for it is "long non-coding RNA (PVUL_LNC004012)". Lineage: Eukaryota; Viridiplantae; Streptophyta; Magnoliopsida; Fabales; Fabaceae. The record is from RNAcentral.
GAGGAGUUAAGGAACAUUUCUACCCGAUCAGAUUUUCAAAUAGAGUAAGUUCAUUUUUACUCUAAAUAUCCUUUGUUCUCUAUUUUUCCUUAGGAUUUAGUCAUCAAUCUUUGUGGGGUCAGUUGAGAAGUUUAAUCCUCUCAACUUAUUCUAUUAUAUACUGAAUUUUUGUUCUGUUUGGAUAACUUACAUUAGGCCCGUAAAUCUUGAAGUUUAUCCAGACUAUGGGGAAUAAAAUUCUAAAAGUUGCUUGAAAAACAAGCAAUUGAGGUAAGGGAAGCUAAAUUUAAUUUUUUAUAGCACCCUAGGAUAGAAGAUCUGAAUGCGGAAGGGACGUGGUCCCAAUAUUGAAUUUCUCUUGCAGGGGUGUUAUUUGUUUAUAUAUUGUGUGUUUGUUUAUAUAUUAUUUAAACUUUAUAAAUAUUAUAUUUUGAUAGUUUGAGAGUUAAAUAUUGUUUUUGACGUUGGAAAAGUUCUGGAAUGAUAUGAAUUUUUAAAUGUUAUGUGAUUGAAUGAUAUGUAUUAUAUGCGAAUGAUGUAAAUUGUAUGGAAGUGAUGUCAUACAUUUGGGAUAAUGUAUGGACUGAUGUUUGCUGUGUAUUAAGUAUUGAUGCCU